This 74-nucleotide small RNA is filed under the name Salix viminalis (osier). The record is from RNAcentral. Lineage: Eukaryota; Viridiplantae; Streptophyta; Magnoliopsida; Malpighiales; Salicaceae.
UCACUGAUGAUGAAAACAGUCAACCAGAAUUCCUAUGAACUUAAAGGAAAAAGUUCCUGAUUAAUUAAUAGUGG